This 292-nucleotide ribosomal RNA is filed under the name uncultured eukaryote. RNAcentral describes it as "partial 18S ribosomal RNA". It matches the Rfam family "Eukaryotic small subunit ribosomal RNA", at positions 6 to 291 of the family's 1831-position model. The record is from RNAcentral.
GGUUGAUCCUGCCAGUAUCAUAUGCUUGUCUCAAAGAUUAAGCCAUGCAUGUCUAAGUAUAAGCAACCUUAUACUGUGAAACUGCAGAUGGCUCAUUAAAUCAGUCAUAAUUUAUUUGAUGAUUACUUACUACUUGGAUAACCGUAGUAAUUCUAGAGCUAAUACAUGCGUAAAGUCCUGACUUUCGGGGAGGGAUGUAUUUAUUAGAUACAAAACCAAUGCGGGUGGGCAACCAUCCGGUUUGAGGUGAAUCAUAAUAACUGUUCGAAUCGCAUGGCUUCACGCCGGCGAU